GACGAACGCUGGCGGCGUGCUUAACACAUGCAAGUCGAACGGAAAGGCCUGCUUUCCCUUGUGUAUUGCGGGUACUCGAGUGGCGAACGGGUGAGUAAAACGUGAGUCAUCUGCCCCCAAAUUGGGUAUAAGCCGGGGAAAAUAGGUCUAAUUCCCGCUAGGACUGCAGGGUGGUUUGGGUGGUUGAAAAGGAUGUUCUAGGGGUCGGGGAUGAGCUGUUGGCCUAUCAGGUUGUGGGUGGGGUAAUGGCUGACCAAGGCGGCGACGGGUAGCCGGCCUGGGGUGGUGGACGGCCACAUUGGGACUGACAUACUGGGCAUGAGCCUACGGGAGGAAGCAGUCGGGAAGAAUGCGCGGUGGGCGGAAGACUGAUGCAGCGACGCUGAGUGGGGAAUGACGGGCUUCGGGUGGUAAACUCCGUUCGACAGCGCGGAAGCGACCUGGUUGGAAGGGUGGUGACGGUAGUGGGAAAAGAAGCACCGGCUAACUACGUG
RNAcentral lists this ribosomal RNA (494 nucleotides) under uncultured bacterium. RNAcentral's name for it is "partial 16S ribosomal RNA". It matches the Rfam family "Bacterial small subunit ribosomal RNA", at positions 28 to 507 of the family's 1533-position model. The record is from RNAcentral.